This 377-nucleotide ribosomal RNA is filed under the name uncultured bacterium. RNAcentral's name for it is "bacterial SSU rRNA". It matches the Rfam family "Bacterial small subunit ribosomal RNA", at positions 521 to 896 of the family's 1533-position model. The record is from RNAcentral.
UAAUACGAAAGGUCCAAGCGUUACUCGGAAUUACUGGGCGUAAAGCGCGCGUAGGCGGCUUUGUAUGUCGAUUGUGAAAGCCCCGGGCUCAACCUGGGAACUGCAGUCGAAACUGCAAAGCUUGAAUGUUGGAGAGGUUGGGGGAAUACCUAGUGGAGAAGUGAAAUUCGUAGAGAUUAGGUGGAACACCAGAGGCGAAGGCGCCUGACUGGCCAAACAUUGACGCUGAGGCGCGAAAGCGUGGGUAGCAAACAGGAUUAGAUACCCUGGUAGUCCACGCCGUAAACUAUGGACACUCGCCGUUCGAAGCAUUAACCCUUUGAGUGGCAAAGCUAACGCAUUAAGUGUCCCGCCUGGGAAGUACGGUCGCAAGACUA